GACGUAGGAGGCGAGCGUUGUCCGGAUUCAUUGGGCGUAAAGAGCACGCAGGCGGUUUGGCAAGUCGGAUGUGAAAACCCGAAGCUCAACUUCGGGCCUGCAUCCGAAACUGCCCGACUAGAGGUAGGUAGGGGAGAUCGGAAUUCCUGGUGUAGCGGUGAAAUGCGCAGAUAUCAGGAGGAACACCGGUGGCGAAGGCGGAUCUCGGGGCCUUACCUGACGCUCAGGUGCGAAAGCUAGGGGAGCGAACAGG
Molecule: ribosomal RNA, 253 nt
Filed under: uncultured bacterium
Lineage: Bacteria
Description: partial 16S ribosomal RNA
Rfam family: Bacterial small subunit ribosomal RNA
Source: RNAcentral